UACGGAGGGUGCAAGCGUUAUCCGGAUUUACUGGGUUUAAAGGGCGCGUAGGCGGCCGGGUAAGUGAGAUGUGAAAGCUCUGGGCUCAACCCAGGAAUUGCAUUUCAUACUGCUCGGCUCGAGAUUGGUAGAGGAUGGCGGAAUUCCAGGUGUAGCGGUGAAAUGCGUAGAUAUCUGGAGGAACACCGAUGGCGAAGGCAGGUCUCUGGGCAUUAACUGACGCUGAGGAGCGAAAGCAUGGGGAGCGAACAGG
Molecule: ribosomal RNA, 253 nt
Filed under: uncultured bacterium
Lineage: Bacteria
Description: partial 16S ribosomal RNA
Rfam family: Bacterial small subunit ribosomal RNA
Source: RNAcentral